GCCAGUGUGGCACAGUGGUUUGAAUGCUGGACUAGGACUCAGGAGACCAGAGUUUAAAUCCCCGCUCAGCCA
Phrynosoma platyrhinos (Desert horned lizard) is the source of this 72-nucleotide non-coding RNA. The record is from the annotation of a GenBank genome assembly. NCBI's taxonomy places the organism in Eukaryota, Metazoa, Chordata, Lepidosauria, Squamata, Phrynosomatidae.